ACGAGCCUAGUAAUUUAAGUAAUGAUUAUACGGGGUGCACUGGGGCUCUGGACAAGGGCGUCGUCCCACGCAGGCUGAUGCGAGUAGCAGGAUGUAAGAUGAGGAAGCGUCAUGUAGCGAGCAUGAUGCUACACGGAUGAGUCGGGAGAGCCAGUUUCCAGAAGCGGCGUUCCUCGUUCCCUCUGCUCAGUGCCCUGGAGUCCUGACCGCAGCAACGUGACUGGCAUCUGAGCAUUUCAAAGAAAUGCUGAUGGCAAGUUUUUGGAAGCAGAAAUUGGAACUGGGGCCAGGUGUGCUGUGGUUGGGCCAGCCAACCCUGUUCUCUUGGGGCAUUCAGGGAUGCAUCUGAAUUCUUCAAUGCCUGGAUGGAGCAGCUGUUGCCCUGGCCCGAGAGCCUAUCUGGAGAUUGAGACACAAGCUGUUCAGUCACUCCUCUUCCCAGGGAAGACCUUGUAACGGUGCCAUGUGAGUGGGUGGUGCUGGGGGAACUGCACUGCACAGCUAUCAACGAGAUGCCAUGACCCAGCUGCUGAAACCUCCACGCAUGGCCAUCUUACCUAGGUCUUGAAACUGGAAGUCCCAAGGGGAACCAGCAUGGUUGGUUCUGGUGAAGGGGUCUCUCUCAGUGGUGGGAGCUACUUACUAUGUCCUCACAAUGGGAAGAAAUAGGGCACCCUGGUGUCUUUUCUUCUUUUCAGUGACUCCCCCUUGUUGAGACCCACUUUUAUCAAUUCCCAACUAUUCCCUAAAGCUGUCGCCUGGGGGUCAGGUUUCAAUCCUGAACUUGAGGACAAAGAAUUCGGUACCACCGAGGCUGUCGAAAGGCCUAUCCUGGUGCUGGGCAGCUUAGUGACCAGUAGGAGGCAUUACAAGGUGACCAGCUGCUCUUUCUCCUGGGGAAUGAGCAGCUACCAUAGAGAUGUUUUUUCUGCCUUUGUACGUAGGUUGACCCUGGGAUGGAGUUUUGGGGUUUUUUUUGUUGUUGUUGUUCAUCGUUUGGUUGGUUUAGUUUUUCUGAGACAGUGUUCCUGCGUGUACCCCUCUGGCUGUCUUGGAACUUGCUCUGUAGGGUAGGCUGGUCUCCAGCUUUGAGUUCCUCCUGGCUCUGCUGGAAUUAAAGGAGUGCAUCACCACUGCC
RNAcentral lists this long non-coding RNA (1138 nucleotides) under Rattus norvegicus (Norway rat). RNAcentral describes it as "long non-coding RNA NONRATT006290". Lineage: Eukaryota; Metazoa; Chordata; Mammalia; Rodentia; Muridae. The record is from RNAcentral.